GCGGGAGUAGCUCAGUGGUAGAGCAUCAGCUUCCCAAGCUGAGGGUCGCGGGUUCGACCCCCGUUUCCCGCUCAA
Molecule: transfer RNA, 75 nt
Filed under: Bacteroidales bacterium 6E
Lineage: Bacteria; Pseudomonadati; Bacteroidota; Bacteroidia; Bacteroidales
Also listed under: 2 other names
Description: tRNA-Gly
Rfam family: tRNA
About the family: Transfer RNA (tRNA) molecules are approximately 80 nucleotides in length. Their secondary structure includes four short double-helical elements and three loops (D, anti-codon, and T loops).
Source: RNAcentral